GGUUAAGCGACUAAGCGUACACGGUGGAUGCCCUGGCAGUCAGAGGCGAUGAAGGACGUGCUAAUCUGCGAUAAGCGUCGGUAAGGUGAUAUGAACCGUUAUAACCGGCGAUUUCCGAAUGGGGAAACCCAGUGUGUUUCGACACACUAUCAUUAACUGAAUCCAUAGGUUAAUGAGGCGAACCGGGGGAACUGAAACAUCUAAGUACCCCGAGGAAAAGAAAUCAACCGAGAUUCCCCCAGUAGCGGCGAGCGAACGGGGAGGAGCCCAGAGCCUGAAUCAGUGUGUGUGUUAGUGGAAGCGUCUGGAAAGGCGCGCGAUACAGGGUGACAGCCCCGUACACAAAAAUGCACAUGCUGUGAGCUCGAUGAGUAGGGCGGGACACGUGGUAUCCUGUCUGAAUAUGGGGGGACCAUCCUCCAAGGCUAAAUACUCCUGACUGACCGAUAGUGAACCAGUACCGUGAGGGAAAGGCGAAAAGAACCCCGGCGAGGGGAGUGAAAAAGAACCUGAAACCGUGUACGUACAAGCAGUGGGAGCACGCUUAGGCGUGUGACUGCGUACCUUUUGUAUAAUGGGUCAGCGACUUAUAUUCUGUAGCAAGGUUAACCGAAUAGGGGAGCCGAAGGGAAACCGAGUCUUAACUGGGCGUUAAGUUGCAGGGUAUAGACCCGAAACCCGGUGAUCUAGCCAUGGGCAGGUUGAAGGUUGGGUAACACUAACUGGAGGACCGAACCGACUAAUGUUGAAAAAUUAGCGGAUGACUUGUGGCUGGGGGUGAAAGGCCAAUCAAACCGGGAGAUAGCUGGUUCUCCCCGAAAGCUAUUUAGGUAGCGCCUCGUGAAUUCAUCUCCGGGGGUAGAGCACUGUUUCGGCAAGGGGGUCAUCCCGACUUACCAACCCGAUGCAAACUGCGAAUACCGGAGAAUGUUAUCACGGGAGACACACGGCGGGUGCUAACGUCCGUCGUGAAGAGGGAAACAACCCAGACCGCCAGCUAAGGUCCCAAAGUCAUGGUUAAGUGGGAAACGAUGUGGGAAGGCCCAGACAGCCAGGAUGUUGGCUUAGAAGCAGCCAUCAUUUAAAGAAAGCGUAAUAGCUCACUGGUCGAGUCGGCCUGCGCGGAAGAUGUAACGGGGCUAAACCAUGCACCGAAGCUGCGGCAGCGACGCUUAUGCGUUGUUGGGUAGGGGAGCGUUCUGUAAGCCUGUGAAGGUGUGCUGUGAGGCAUGCUGGAGGUAUCAGAAGUGCGAAUGCUGACAUAAGUAACGAUAAAGCGGGUGAAAAGCCCGCUCGCCGGAAGACCAAGGGUUCCUGUCCAACGUUAAUCGGGGCAGGGUGAGUCGACCCCUAAGGCGAGGCCGAAAGGCGUAGUCGAUGGGAAACAGGUUAAUAUUCCUGUACUUGGUGUUACUGCGAAGGGGGGACGGAGAAGGCUAUGUUGGCCGGGCGACGGUUGUCCCGGUUUAAGCGUGUAGGCUGGUUUUCCAGGCAAAUCCGGAAAAUCAAGGCUGAGGCGUGAUGACGAGGCACUACGGUGCUGAAGCAACAAAUGCCCUGCUUCCAGGAAAAGCCUCUAAGCAUCAGGUAACAUCAAAUCGUACCCCAAACCGACACAGGUGGUCAGGUAGAGAAUACCAAGGCGCUUGAGAGAACUCGGGUGAAGGAACUAGGCAAAAUGGUGCCGUAACUUCGGGAGAAGGCACGCUGAUAUGUAGGUGAAGUCCCUCGCGGAUGGAGCUGAAAUCAGUCGAAGAUACCAGCUGGCUGCAACUGUUUAUUAAAAACACAGCACUGUGCAAACACGAAAGUGGACGUAUACGGUGUGACGCCUGCCCGGUGCCGGAAGGUUAAUUGAUGGGGUUAGCGCAAGCGAAGCUCUUGAUCGAAGCCCCGGUAAACGGCGGCCGUAACUAUAACGGUCCUAAGGUAGCGAAAUUCCUUGUCGGGUAAGUUCCGACCUGCACGAAUGGCGUAAUGAUGGCCAGGCUGUCUCCACCCGAGACUCAGUGAAAUUGAACUCGCUGUGAAGAUGCAGUGUACCCGCGGCAAGACGGAAAGACCCCGUGAACCUUUACUAUAGCUUGACACUGAACAUUGAGCCUUGAUGUGUAGGAUAGGUGGGAGGCUUUGAAGUGUGGACGCCAGUCUGCAUGGAGCCGACCUUGAAAUACCACCCUUUAAUGUUUGAUGUUCUAACGUUGACCCGUAAUCCGGGUUGCGGACAGUGUCUGGUGGGUAGUUUGACUGGGGCGGUCUCCUCCUAAAGAGUAACGGAGGAGCACGAAGGUUGGCUAAUCCUGGUCGGACAUCAGGAGGUUAGUGCAAUGGCAUAAGCCAGCUUGACUGCGAGCGUGACGGCGCGAGCAGGUGCGAAAGCAGGUCAUAGUGAUCCGGUGGUUCUGAAUGGAAGGGCCAUCGCUCAACGGAUAAAAGGUACUCCGGGGAUAACAGGCUGAUACCGCCCAAGAGUUCAUAUCGACGGCGGUGUUUGGCACCUCGAUGUCGGCUCAUCACAUCCUGGGGCUGAAGUAGGUCCCAAGGGUAUGGCUGUUCGCCAUUUAAAGUGGUACGCGAGCUGGGUUUAGAACGUCGUGAGACAGUUCGGUCCCUAUCUGCCGUGGGCGCUGGAGAACUGAGGGGGGCUGCUCCUAGUACGAGAGGACCGGAGUGGACGCAUCACUGGUGUUCGGGUUGUCAUGCCAAUGGCACUGCCCGGUAGCUAAAUGCGGAAGAGAUAAGUGCUGAAAGCAUCUAAGCACGAAACUUGCCCCGAGAUGAGUUCUCCCUGACCCUUUAAGGGUCCUGAAGGAACGUUGAAGACGACGACGUUGAUAGGCCGGGUGUGUAAGCGCAGCGAUGCGUUGAGCUAACCGGUACUAAUGAACCGUGAGGCUUAACCUU
RNAcentral lists this ribosomal RNA (2904 nucleotides) under Escherichia coli. RNAcentral's name for it is "23S ribosomal RNA". It matches the Rfam family "Bacterial large subunit ribosomal RNA". Lineage: Bacteria; Pseudomonadati; Pseudomonadota; Gammaproteobacteria; Enterobacterales; Enterobacteriaceae. The record is from RNAcentral.